This 203-nucleotide ribosomal RNA is filed under the name uncultured bacterium. RNAcentral's name for it is "partial 16S ribosomal RNA". It matches the Rfam family "Bacterial small subunit ribosomal RNA", at positions 524 to 725 of the family's 1533-position model. The record is from RNAcentral.
UACGGAGGGUGCAAACGUUGCUCGGAAUCAUUUGGGCGUAAAGCGCACGUAGGCGGCCUGAUAAGUCGGGUGUGAAAGCCCUGGGCUCAACCCAGGAAGUGCACUCGAAACUGUCAGGCUUGAAUAUGGAAGAGGGUCGCGGAAUUCCCGGUGUAGAGGUGAAAUUCGUAGAUAUCAGGAGGAACACCGGCGGCGAAGGCGCU